This 468-nucleotide ribosomal RNA is filed under the name uncultured bacterium. RNAcentral's name for it is "partial 16S ribosomal RNA". It matches the Rfam family "Bacterial small subunit ribosomal RNA", at positions 28 to 507 of the family's 1533-position model. The record is from RNAcentral.
GACGAACGCUGGCGGCGUGCUUAACACAUGCAAGUCGAACGGAAAGGCCCUGCUUUUGUGGGGUGCUCGAGUGGCGAACGGGUGAGUAACACGUGAGUAACCUGCCCUUGACUUUGGGAUAACUUCAGGAAACUGGGGCUCAUACCGGAUAGGAGCUCCUGAUGCAUGGUGGGGGUUGGAAAGUUUCGGCGGUUGGGGCUGGACUCGCGGCUUAUCAGCCUGUUGGUGGGGUAGUGGCUUACCAAGGCUUUGACGGGUAGCCGGCCUGAGAGGGGGACCGGCCACAAUGGGACUGAGAUACGGCCCAGACGCCUACGGGAGGCAGCAGUGGGGAAUAUUGCACAAUAGGCGGAAGCCUGAUGCAGCAACGCCGCGUGCGGGAUGACGGCCUUCGGGUUGUAAACCGCUUUCGCCUGUGACGAAGCGUGAGUGACGGUAAUGGGUAAAGAAGCACCGGCUAACUACGUG